Molecule: ribosomal RNA, 254 nt
Filed under: uncultured bacterium
Lineage: Bacteria
Description: partial 16S ribosomal RNA
Rfam family: Bacterial small subunit ribosomal RNA
Source: RNAcentral
UACGGAGGGUGCGAGCGUUGUCCGGAAUCAUUGGGCGUAAAGGGCGCGUAGGUGGCCCGGUCAGUCCGUGGUGAAAGCGCGGGGCUCAACCCUGCGUCGGCCAUGGAUACUGCCGCGGCUCGAGCACUGUAGAGGCAGGCGGAAUUCCGGGUGUAGCGGUGGAAUGCGUAGAGAUCCGGAAGAACACCGGUGGCGAAGGCGGCCUGCUGGGCUGUUGCUGACGCUGAGGCGCGACAGCGUGGGGAGCAAACAGG